AAAAUUCUACUGACCAAAAGGUAGAAGCCUGAACUCUAG
This 39-nucleotide small RNA is filed under the name Vibrio cholerae O1 biovar El Tor str. N16961. Lineage: Bacteria; Pseudomonadati; Pseudomonadota; Gammaproteobacteria; Vibrionales; Vibrionaceae. The record is from RNAcentral.